CAUGAGCAACCUGCCCUUCAGAGGGGGACAACAGUUGGAAACGACUGCUAAUACCGCAUAACAUAUCCGGGAGGCAUCUCCUGGAUAUCAAAGAUUUAUCGCUGAAGGAUGGGCUCAUGUCUGAUUAGCUAGUUGGUGGGGUAACGGCCCACCAAGGCUACAAUCAGUAGCCGGUCUGAGAGGAUGAACGGCCACAUUGGGACUGAGAUACGGCCCAGACUCCUACGGAAGGCAGCAG
This 238-nucleotide ribosomal RNA is filed under the name uncultured bacterium. RNAcentral describes it as "partial 16S ribosomal RNA". It matches the Rfam family "Bacterial small subunit ribosomal RNA", at positions 116 to 354 of the family's 1533-position model. The record is from RNAcentral.